UACGUAGGGGGCAAGCGUUAUCCGGAUUUACUGGGUGUAAAGGGAGCGCAGACGGAUGAGCAAGUCAGAUGUGAAAGCUCGGGGCUCAACCCCGGAACUGCAUUUGAAACUGCCCGUCUCGAGUGCCGGAGAGGUAAGCGGAAUUCCUAGUGUAGCGGUGAAAUGCGUAGAUAUUAGGAAGAACACCAGUGGCGAAGGCGGCUUACUGGACGGUAACUGACGUUGAGGCUCGAAAGCGUGGGGAG
This 245-nucleotide ribosomal RNA is filed under the name uncultured Lachnospiraceae bacterium. Its description in RNAcentral is "partial 16S ribosomal RNA". It matches the Rfam family "Bacterial small subunit ribosomal RNA", at positions 524 to 768 of the family's 1533-position model. The record is from RNAcentral. Lineage: Bacteria; Bacillati; Bacillota; Clostridia; Lachnospirales; Lachnospiraceae.